CGGCACGGGUGAGUAACACGUAUGCAACCUGCCUGCCACAGCCGGAUAAUCGGGAGAAAUUCCGUCUAAUACGGCAUAAUGCAUCGACGGGACAUCCUGUUGGUGCCAAGGUUAAUUCCGGUGGCGGAUGGGCAUGCGUCGCAUUAGUUAGUUGGCGGUGUAACGGACCACCAAGACGACGAUGCGUAGGGGUUCUGAGAGGAAGGUCCCCCACCACUGGUACUGAGACACGGACCAGACUCCUACGGGAGGCAGCAG
Molecule: ribosomal RNA, 258 nt
Filed under: uncultured bacterium
Lineage: Bacteria
Description: partial 16S ribosomal RNA
Rfam family: Bacterial small subunit ribosomal RNA
Source: RNAcentral